GAUGAACGCUGACAGAAUGCUUAACACAUGCAAGUCAACUUGAACUUCGGUUUGGGUGGCGGACGGGUGAGUAACGCGUAAAGAACUUGCCUCACAGCUAGGGACAACAUUUGGAAACGAAUGCUAAUACCUGAUAUUAUGAUUAUAUGGCAUCGUAUAAUUAUGAAAGCUAUAUGCGCUGUGAGAGAGCUUUGCGUCCCAUUAGCUAGUUGGAGAGGUAACAGCUCACCAAGGCGAUGAUGGGUAGCCGGCCUGAGAGGGUGAUCGGCCACAAGGGGACUGAGACACGGCCCUUACUCCUACGGGAGGCAACAGUGGGGAAUAUUGGACAGUGGACCGAGAGUCUGAUCCAGCAAUUCUGUGUGCACGAUGAAGUUUUUCGGAAUGUAAAGUGCUUUCAGUUGGGAAGAAAAAAAUGACGGUACCAACAGAAGAAGUGACGGCUAAAUACGUG
Molecule: ribosomal RNA, 454 nt
Filed under: uncultured bacterium
Lineage: Bacteria
Description: partial 16S ribosomal RNA
Rfam family: Bacterial small subunit ribosomal RNA
Source: RNAcentral